RNAcentral lists this ribosomal RNA (425 nucleotides) under uncultured bacterium. RNAcentral's name for it is "bacterial SSU rRNA". It matches the Rfam family "Bacterial small subunit ribosomal RNA", at positions 354 to 796 of the family's 1533-position model. The record is from RNAcentral.
GUGGGGAAUAUUGGACAAUGGGCGCAAGCCUGAUCCAGCCAUGCCGCGUGAGUGAUGAAGGCCUUAGGGUUGUAAAGCUCUUUCACCGAUGAAGAUAAUGACGGUAGUCGGAGAAGAAGCCCCGGCUAACUUCGUGCCAGCAGCCGCGGUAAUACGAAGGGGGCUAGCGUUGUUCGGAUUUACUGGGCGUAAAGCGCACGUAGGCGGUUUGUUAAGUCAGGGGUGAAAUCCCGGAGCUCAACUCCGGAACUGCCUUUGAUACUGGCAAGCUAGAGUCCGGAAGAGGUAAGUGGAACUCCUAGUGUAGAGGUGGAAUUCGUAGAUAUUAGGAAGAACACCAGUGGCGAAGGCGGCUCACUGGUCCGGUACUGACGCUGAGGUGCGAAAGCGUGGGGAGCAAACAGGAUUAGAAACCCUGGUAGUCC